Molecule: long non-coding RNA, 233 nt
Organism: Neltuma alba
Lineage: Eukaryota; Viridiplantae; Streptophyta; Magnoliopsida; Fabales; Fabaceae
Exons: 2
Source: RefSeq, a predicted model, not a curated record
GAGUGAGCUUGGUUUAGGCUCUUAGGUCUUGAAUCCUCCUACUUUUAGUUCUUGUGUCAAGAAUUUGAGGUGAGGGUUCAAGUGUUGGUCCCAAGGGGAAGGUGUCCGAGGCUUAAGUUUUCCUUUCCACUCUGUAUAGCCUCUAUUUUGAUAUACAUGAUUUGACUGAUGUAUAUUGCCAAACUUUAGGGCCUUUUUGUUAUACUUAACAUAAUCAUAGCCUUUCCGCUGCA